This is a long non-coding RNA of Cebus imitator (Panamanian white-faced capuchin), 965 nucleotides long. RefSeq lists it as uncharacterized. NCBI's taxonomy places the organism in Eukaryota, Metazoa, Chordata, Mammalia, Primates, Cebidae. The transcript is spliced from 2 exons. The record is from RefSeq and is a predicted model, not a curated record.
AGAAAAUAAUUGUCUUUGCCAUUCUCAGUAUGAUUUUUAUGGCUGCAUCACUCCCUGCUUUGCAAAAGUUGCCUAGAAUUGGGUAAGGGUGGGGAAGAAAUCACAAGCAAAGUGCCAAGGCAUAUGCACAUUUAGUUUGUAAACCUGACUUUAAAGCUGUGAUUUCUUUUUCCUGUCCAAUGGCAGCCAAUUUUGGAAUCAGGUGCUGUAGAGCUACUUUGUGGAUUGACCCAGAGUGAAAAUCCUGCUUUACGAGUGAAUGGAAUUUGGGCUUUAAUGAACAACUUUAUGAUAUCAGCCAGGAAGUUCUUACCAUACUUUAUAGAUGAAGUAAACUGAGACACAGAAUGAUUAUUUUAUUUUUUUAUUGGCAAAUAAAAAUUAUAUGUGUUUAUAAUGUACAACACAAUGCUUUGAAAGAUAUAUAGGUGGUGGAAUGGCUAAUUUGAGCUAAUUUACAUAUGUAUUACCUCACAUACUUAGCCAUUUUUUGCAGAAUGAUUAAAUAACUUGUCCAAGGUAACAAAAUUGGUGCAUAAAUACUUACUAAUUUUUUAACAGUUUUUAGUAAAUAAUUUAUAAUAGAUUCUAAAACUUUAUGAGGUUAGAGAAUUAUUUCUCCUUAAGAUUAUUAAACUUUUCUUGAGAUUGAAAAUAGAAAGAUCCUAAAUUGAUUUUUAAAACAUAUGUAUUCUAUGUACAAUUUAAUUGCUCUGUACCAGACAUUAAGCUGGGUGUUUUAUUUUUAUCUCUAAUUCUUAUUUUAAGAUAUAUUGGUAUAUAUUCACCUUACAAAUGGAAAACUAGGACUUAGGAAGGGUAAGCCAAUUGUGAGGGUGAAGGCCUCACAGCUAAUACUGGAAAUGGGUUCAGAACCUUUUCUAAGCCUGUAUUUUUCUCCCUGUUCCAUGCUGUAUCUGCCAUGUUUUUAUACAGACUUUGGGAUAGAAAUAAUUAUCUUCUAA